UCCAGACUCCUACGGGAGGCAGCAGUGAGGAAUAUUGGUCAAUGGCCGGAAGGCUGAACCAGCCAAGCCGCGUGAAGGACGAAGGUGCCAAGCAUUGUAAACUUCUUUUGUCAAGGGACAGAAUCAGGCUCGAGAGCCUGGCCGAGGGUACUUGAAGAAAAAGCAUCGGCUAACUCCGUGCCAGCAGCCGCGGUAAUACGUAGGGGGCAAGCGUUAUCCGGAUUCACUGGGUGUAAAGGGAGCGUAGACGGCGGCGCAAGUCUGGAGUGAAAGCCCGGGGCCCAACCCCGGGACUGCUCUGGAAACUGCGGCGCUGGAGUACGGGAGGGGCAGGCGGAAUUCCUGGUGUAGCGGUGAAAUGCGUAGAUAUUAGGAGGAACACCAGUGGCGAAGGCGGCUUGCUGGACAGAGACUGACGUUGAGGCUCGAAAGCAUGGGGAGCAAACAGGAUUAGAUACCCGUGUA
This 465-nucleotide ribosomal RNA is filed under the name uncultured bacterium. RNAcentral's name for it is "partial 16S ribosomal RNA". It matches the Rfam family "Bacterial small subunit ribosomal RNA", at positions 330 to 792 of the family's 1533-position model. The record is from RNAcentral.